This 180-nucleotide unclassified non-coding RNA is filed under the name Glomeraceae sp. RNAcentral describes it as "partial internal transcribed spacer 2". Lineage: Eukaryota; Fungi; Glomeromycota; Glomeromycetes; Glomerales; Glomeraceae. The record is from RNAcentral.
GUGAAUCAUCAAAUUUUUGAACGCAAAUUGCACUCUCCUCGAAGCGUAUGCCUGUUUGUGUGCCAGCCUAUAAAAAUCGACCUAGUUGCUGUUUCGCGGUGGUGUUCGUCGGAAAUUGGGUCAUCUUAAAUACUUCUGCUUUAAGCGUCUUAAAAUAUUCUUUUUGUUCUAUGUACGAUU